This 499-nucleotide long non-coding RNA is filed under the name Mytilus galloprovincialis (Mediterranean mussel). Lineage: Eukaryota; Metazoa; Mollusca; Bivalvia; Mytilida; Mytilidae. The record is from RNAcentral.
CCUCUUUUUUCAUUUUUUCUAAAAAAAAUCUUUCCCUCAAGAUGUGGUCAUAAUCUCAAUUCAAAUUUCUAAUGGAGUUUGCAACCAAAAUUACCCUUUUAAAUACAUUGAACUUUAAAUGUGAUUGGAAUACCUCCCUACACUGUUUUAAAACUGUCUUAAUUGUCCAAUAACCAGAAAAAAACCUUUUUUUGUCCCCAAUUCCUAGUUUGAGCCCCCAAAGUCAAUCUUAACCAUCAAUUUGUGAUAUUGAAACUUGUGGUAUAAUUUCAGUGAGAUUCAUACACUAAAACAAAAUUUAUUGUAUGGAAACUACAAAAAUGCUUAUUUGGACUCCUUUUUGUUCCCCUAGUUCCUUAACUGUUUGGACCAUAACCCUGAAAAUCAAUCCCACCUUUCCUUUUGUGAUUAUAAACCUUGUGUAUAAAUUACAUGAAUUUCUAUGAACUUAUACUGAAGUAAGUGUCCAAUAACCAACUGUCUUCUGAAGACUACAACG